This 749-nucleotide ribosomal RNA is filed under the name Cryocola sp. Its description in RNAcentral is "bacterial SSU rRNA". It matches the Rfam family "Bacterial small subunit ribosomal RNA", at positions 66 to 829 of the family's 1533-position model. Lineage: Bacteria; Bacillati; Actinomycetota; Actinomycetes; Micrococcales; Microbacteriaceae. The record is from RNAcentral.
AUGAACCUGGAGCUUGCUCUAGGGGAUUAGUGGCGAACGGGUGAGUAACACGUGAGUAACCUGCCCUUGACUCUGGGAUAACCUCCGGAAACGGAAGCUAAUACCGGAUACGACGUACGGAGGCAUCUCCUGUACGUGGAAAGAACUUCGGUCAAGGAUGGACUCGCGGCCUAUCAGGUAGUUGGUGAGGUAACGGCUCACCAAGCCUACGACGGGUAGCCGGCCUGAGAGGGUGACCGGCCACACUGGGACUGAGACACGGCCCAGACUCCUACGGGAGGCAGCAGUGGGGAAUAUUGCACAAUGGGCGCAAGCCUGAUGCAGCAACGCCGCGUGAGGGAUGACGGCCUUCGGGUUGUAAACCUCUUUUAGUAGGGAAGAAGCGAAAGUGACGGUACCUGCAGAAAAAGCACCGGCUAACUACGUGCCAGCAGCCGCGGUAAUACGUAGGGUGCGAGCGUUGUCCGGAAUUAUUGGGCGUAAAGAGCUCGUAGGCGGUCUGUCGCGUCUGCUGUGAAAACCCGAGGCUCAACCUCGGGCCUGCAGUGGGUACGGGCAGACUAGAGUGCGGUAGGGGAGAAUGGAAUUCCUGGUGUAGCGGUGGAAUGCGCAGAUAUCAGGAGGAACACCGAUGGCGAAGGCAGUUCUCUGGGCCGUAACUGACGCUGAGGAGCGAAAGCGUGGGGAGCGAACAGGAUUAGAUACCCUGGUAGUCCACGCCGUAAACGUUGGGCGCUAGAUGUGGGGAC